This 610-nucleotide ribosomal RNA is filed under the name uncultured bacterium. RNAcentral describes it as "bacterial SSU rRNA". The stretch from base 1 to 522 matches the Rfam family "Bacterial small subunit ribosomal RNA", at positions 338 to 873 of the family's 1533-position model. The record is from RNAcentral.
CCUACGGGAGGCAGCAGUGGGGAAUAUUGCGCAAUGGGCGAAAGCCUGACGCAGCGACGCCGCGUGAGGGAUGAAGGCCUUCGGGUCGUAAACCUCUUUCAGCAGGGAAGAAGCGAAAGUGACGGUACCUGCAGAAGAAGCACCGGCUAACUACGUGCCAGCAGCCGCGGUAAUACGUAGGGUGCAAGCGUUGUCCGGAUUUAUUGGGCGUAAAGAGCUCGUAGGCGGUCUGUCGCGUCUGGUGUGAAAACUCAGGGCUUAACCCUGAGCUUGCAUCGGGUACGGGCAGACUAGAGUGCGGUAGGGGAGACUGGAAUUCCUGGUGUAGCGGUGAAAUGCGCAGAUAUCAGGAGGAACACCGGUGGCGAAGGCGGGUCUCUGGGCCGUAACUGACGCUGAGGAGCGAAAGCAUGGGGAGCGAACAGGAUUAGAUACCCUGGUAGUCCAUGCCGUAAACGUUGGGCGCUAGGUNUGGGGACCUUUCCAUGGUUUCCGUGCCGCAGCUACGCAUAGUCGCCCGCCGUCGGGAGGUACGGCCGCGACGGACGUAAACUACAAACGAAGUUAGACGGCGNGAGACGUGCCGACGGACGACGACGAGGGAGGUAGG